GGUGGCGGUCGCGACUGGCGAGGGUGGACCACCACCGGGGAGCGGCCGUCCGCAUCCGUGAGCGUCGACCGCCUGGGCGCCUCCC
The sequence is a regulatory RNA element, 85 nucleotides long. It matches the Rfam family "ZMP/ZTP riboswitch aptamer (pfl RNA motif)". Rfam says of the family: Previously known as pfl RNA. ZMP is also known as AICAR. The record is from Rfam.